Cinara cedri is the source of this 381-nucleotide non-coding RNA. The record is from the annotation of a GenBank genome assembly. NCBI's taxonomy places the organism in Eukaryota, Metazoa, Arthropoda, Insecta, Hemiptera, Aphididae.
UUCCUUCUUCGUGUCUAUACCCCGUCAUGAGAUUUCUGUUACCAGACGGUCUUUAGAUACAGUUUUCUUAAUAAAAUACUCCUGUGUAUUACACGGAUUCACCAAUUUUUGCCACCAAGAAAAGGUCGUGUACCUUGGCAUGAUUCAUGAUGGUGUCUCGAACGAAUCAAUGAAAUGAGUCCCGAUCUGGUCCGCUGGGCGGACAUCUUCGGGAGAACGAUGGUAAUAUGUAUGUAAUUUAGUAAUUGGCCGAUACCCCGUUAGUUAGUUAAUUAGUUUAAAAACCUACCUAAUAAGUAUAUUACACUUCGGUACAUGGUACAUCAUAUAAUUUUUAUUUUUGCAUCCAGAUGUAUACGAAAUAGGUAUCUAAUAUAUUAC